UACGGAGGGUGCAAGCGUUAAUCGGAAUUACUGGGCGUAAAGCGCGCGUAGGUGGCUUGAUAAGCCGGUUGUGCAAGCCUCGGGCUCAACCUGGAAACGGCAUCCGGAACUGUCAAGCUAGGGUGCAGGAGAGGAAGGUAGAAUUCCCGGUGUAGCGGUGAAAUGCGUAGAGAUCGGGAGGAAUACCAGUGUCGAAGGCGGCCUUCUGGACUGUCACUGACACUGAGGUGCGAAAGCGUGGGUAGCAAACAGG
RNAcentral lists this unclassified non-coding RNA (253 nucleotides) under uncultured Halomonadaceae bacterium. Its description in RNAcentral is "contains 16S-23S intergenic spacer region". It matches the Rfam family "Bacterial small subunit ribosomal RNA", at positions 524 to 776 of the family's 1533-position model. The record is from RNAcentral. Lineage: Bacteria; Pseudomonadati; Pseudomonadota; Gammaproteobacteria; Oceanospirillales; Halomonadaceae.